AUGGAUUUUCGUUUGUGUCAAUCAAUUGAUGGAAACGUGAGUGAGCUAGAGAAGUAUGUGUAUGUAAGCUAAAAUAAUUACAACUAAUGUUUUUCAUCGAGUAUUAUGUGAUGUUAUGUAACCAAUGAACUGUGAAUGUGAAUAUGUUACCACGAAGGAGAUAGACGCCACAUGAGUGGCGGAGCUUGAGAUUUCCGACCGGUGGGUCGAAAACGUAUAUACCUAGAAAAAAUUAUAAAACCGGGGGUCGAAAACGUAUAUGCCUAAAAAAUUCUAUACGAAAACUACAUACCGGACACUAUUGAGCGAAAAGUUCGGGGGGUCGGGCGCCCAGGAGAACGAAUGUCGAAUGGUGGAUAAGCUUGGACAUGCUAAGAUAUUAAUCACGUGAGGUUGGACAUAUUUUCAAUGGGUUCCAUAUGGUUUUGAAAUUCUUGGUUGAUAUUAAAUGGGGUAUACUAAAUGGUUUGGUGCAUAAAAGAGGAAAACGGCAUGCAGUGGUGUAUUAUUCGAAAUACGCCAUGUUAUGCUAGGUGUCUAGGUGGUUUAGGUAACAAUUUUUUUUUUCAUUUAUCCAGUUUUCAAGUAUGUUUUGAUUAUUCAUGCAUUUAGCUUUGCUAACUACUUUGUUCGCAUAUACUCUCCGGACUAAUGGGAGAAUCAUGAUUGAAUCUUGAGAUGGAACUAUUCAAUUUAAGACCACUAUAGUGCUAUGUCGAAUAUAGUGUUUUGACUUAAUUAGGAGGCUAAUAUGGUUCUUUGCUAUAACUUGGUGGUGUAAACUUUAUGCUUCGAGGUCUGUUAGAUACUACGAUUUUAAUUGUUGUGAUAGGAUUCAGGUUACUUUGACGGGGAACCAUUGAGUAUGGAAGAAGCAUGAUGGAUGUUAACAAAAUGAGCCAUGUUUUGAAUGCUAUCAAAAGGGGUAGGUGAUGAGAACUCUAAUCACAACUAUUGGGAGCCGACAGAAAACAUGAGUACACCAUGGACCGCUUAAACUGGAUGCUGAACACUCGAGUUUAGAAAGGAUAUAAAACAUCAUCUUUUUUAUGCCUUCGUAUAAUAAAUCUAAUCGUAAUCGAGUUACUUACCUUUCUAUGCUGAUUUUU
RNAcentral lists this long non-coding RNA (1109 nucleotides) under Helianthus annuus (common sunflower). The record is from RNAcentral. Lineage: Eukaryota; Viridiplantae; Streptophyta; Magnoliopsida; Asterales; Asteraceae.